GCUACGUCUUAUUCUCGGGGAAACACGUACAUGUGUGUACGUGAGCGUGUGUAUAUGGGUGCAUGUAUGAGUCUGUGUGAGAGCAUGUGUGUGUGUGUGUGUGAGAGUGUUCGUGCCCACACAUGCUAAGCUUUGGUUUGGCUUUCUCAAGUUGAGAUGUGUGGCAGCCACUACAAGUGGAUGUCAGUGGAUUUACAUUCCUGCUCGCACCCCUCCUUGCGUUUUCUCCCGUGCCUGUUUCCAUCCCCCUUUUCAUAAACUGCACUCCAGGAACCUGGCCGGUGCGUCUUCCAACAUGGCUAUGACUGUGUGGGAUCCACCCACAUCAUCCUGAGACAGCGAUCCUUCUAGGAAGUGUGCGUGGAGGCGCAGAUGUUGGCUGCUGCCAAAUGGUGGGCUGUGGAGAUGCUGGCCUUGUGGAAGCGGCAUUUCAGGUGAGGGGGUGUGUCCUCACUUCCGUGUCGACUCAGUGGGUCUCGCUGGCCCUCAGCCCAGAUGAAACACUGAAUGUCACUCUUGGCCCUGGACACAGCACUGGCCUUUCACUCCAGAGUGCAGACAGCCCCAGAGCCCACGCCCUUCCCAGGGAAGCUCGCCGGCCUCUGUCAGGCUUUACGGAUGGAGAAACUGAGGCUCCAAGGUUUUCUUGGGCUUCUUUUCCUUCCUGAGCGGUCUGGGUGCUUACAGGAGGGUCUCGUGAACUCUACUCCUCCAACUCUAAUGCCUUCACUUCCUGAUAAGGAGGUCACACCAUGGCACAAAGCACUUUUGGUCACCUACCUCUUCCUGGAACACAAGAAUCUCUGAGGGUGGGACUGGGGAAUACUGGUGUUUGCACAGGAAAUGGAGGCACGCAUUGACGCCACACGUGCCCGCCCUGCACAGCCGCAGAUGGUGUCACCCAUGGCAUGAGCCCGAGCCAGGCGGAGCAUAGUGGUGGCAGGCCUGGCUCCACGGGGUCUGGCACCGUCUGGUGUGUCUGAGCACAGCCCCCUGCAAGCUGCUUCCGUGUGCUGGCGACUUUUAUAACUUCACCUGGUUAGAGAAAUUUGUUUAGUGGUUUCUAAGAAUAUGGACCUAUUGUGUCUAUGCUCUGGAAUUUGGCAAGCAUCAGGACAACGUAAGUCUAAAUUUAUUGCUAAUUAAAAUAAUUACAAUAAUCAGGGCUCCAUCCCAGUCAGCAGCUUGGGGAAAUUAAGAGAGAAAACCUUUUCUGAGAGUGACUCAUGGCCAAGUGGAAAUAGUGUUCCCAAAGCUUAAUAAACUCCCCCUCAAAUAACUUAAAAGGUGCUUUACACAGGCAGCUGUUGGUGUGGUCUGGGGUCUCUGUCAGAUGCAUGACUUGAGUGGGAGGUGGGAAGGGGCACAGCUGCUGGAACCAGACUCCUAACAGGACCCCGCUGUCACCACCGGGCUGCCCAGAGGGUCUGCCUUGAGAGCUGCAGUCUUUUUAUGGCCUGUUCCCUGCAGUUUCCUAGGCACAGUGACUCACGGGGUCACACUCAGCCAGCAGAGUGCAGAGGCUCUGAGAUCCUUGUGGGGACCUCAUGGGUUCUGAAUUCCUGUUCCCUCCCAGACCUGGCACACAGGUCCCGCCCGUACUGUGUCUCAGUCACAAAAAAGAGCGUCGUGCUAGAUGGGACCCGAGCAGUCAGCAUGGCCCACGGACGGGGCUCCACUUUGAGGCAGAGAAGGAGCGCUGUCCUGAGAUGGGGCAGCCAUCCCUGAGGGCAGACCCCUUAGUGCUCUGAGCCGCUGCCGGCCGGGUGCAGCCACUCCUGCUGUCAGGGCUUUGAAGGGCAUCCAUGAGGCACUUGCUUUCAUGGACUUUCGAGAUACAAAAGGCUUUCACUCAUUUCCCACUCGGGCUGGGCACGGGGUUCAGAGUCUGCAAGGGACUCACUCUUGUCCCUAGUAUUUCCUGGCACCUCGAGCAACGUCAAGGAGAAAUUCAUCUUCACAUUCUGUCCUUGUUCUUGGCCACUUCCAUGCAGAGAUUGUCAUUAAUAAAGCUGGCGUCCCCAUGUGCUGGGCAGCAGAGUCUGAAGGAAGGGAGAGACCCAGGUGUGAAGCAGCUGAGGCAGAGGCAAGACGAAGGGGAGCUGGCCUGCUGGGUCUCCCUUCCCCAGGCUUAUCUGUUUCUCCCGAUGUUUGGGGAGGGCAGAGAGCGUGGAGGAAAUUUCUCUAGAUUGGAAAUCCAGGAGGCUGUCUCUCCUGUCCAUCACAGGGCUUCAGCCCCACGUGCUCAGGUAUGUGGUUCCAAAGGGACGUAAUGUUUAAGAGCUUGGGUUCUUUCCCUGUAUUUUCCCUGUUUAUUAGCUGUGUGUCCUUGAGCGAAUUCCUUAACCGGUAAGUGCAUUUCCUCAUCUAUGACGUGGACUGAUACUAAUGGCCCCACUCUUAUAAUGAACCAUGUGUAAAGGGCUACAUCAGUUUUCUGUCGCUCUGUGACAGACCAUCCCAAGACUUAGUGGGAUAAAGCGACAGCCGUUUGCUUAGCACAUGAUUCUGUGGGUCUGUGGCAGUUACUCUGGGCUCGGCCAGCCUCACUCCCCCAUUUGCAUCACUGCUGGGUUGCUGGCAGCUGGAUGGCCUACGAUGGCUUCAUUCCCAGGUUCUGGUGGGGGCAGGCUGCCGGCCAGGGCCUGGGACGUUUGGCUGGGCACCCUGCUUCUCCUAAGUGUGGCCGGGUCUUCAGGCAGGCCGGCUCAGGUGUGUUCUUUGGGGGGCUCAGAGUUCCAAGCUCUGAAACACAAGGUCUUUUCAAGCUUCUGUUUGCAUCAGGAUAAGUGCAUCUCAUCGGCAAGCCUAAUGAGAAGGAUGGAGAAACAGGACCAGCUCUUGAUGGUGCCAUGCUUGCAGUCCACACAGGCUGAAUGCGACCUGGAAGGCAAUUCAGGAGUCAACAGUGGAGAGACAGCUCUUUGAUCAUCCUGCAUCACAAAGUCUUCAUGGACAACAGGACGAUGUUGUGUGAAGACCCAGACAUUGAGACUGAGUUAAAGUAGGGGAGACUCUGGGUGGCUCCGAAUGGCUUCUGGAUGGGGGCUGUCACCACAAAGACCAAGCCAUGAUUAGAAUUCUUAGCCCCACGCCCCUCGUCAGGAUGGAGAAAGGCUGGAAAUGGAGUUAACUACCAACCGUGCCUAUGCAAUGAAGCCUCCAUAAAAAUCCUGGAGGUACAGUGUUGGGAGAGCUUCCACAUCAGUGAACAUGUCCACACUGGGAGGGUGACACACCCCAGUUCCAUGGGGACAGAAGCUCCUGCAUUUGGGAGCCUCCCAAACCUCACCUCUCUCUCUCUUCAUCUGGCUGGUCAUCUGUAUCCUGUAUCAUAUCCUCAAAAAAAACAAAACAAAAACACCUGAAAAUGUGUUUCCCUGAGUCCCAUGAGCCACUCUAACAAAUUAAUUGAAACCGAGGAGGGGUCAUGGAGAUCCCCAAUUUGUUGCCAAAUCAGGCAGAGGUUGUGGGUAAUUUGGAGACCCCUGACUUAGACUUGGCAUCUGAAGUGGGGGCCAGUCCUGUGGGGCUGAGCCCUCAACCUGUGGGAUCUAACGCUAUCUCAGGUUGCCAGUGUCAGAAUUGAGUUAAAUGGUAGAACACCCAGCUGAUGUCACAGGAAAUUGCUUGUUAUGGGAAAAAACCUCCACACAUUUGGUGCCCAGAAGUGUCAGAAGUGAAGUGUUCUGUGUGCAAGUGAAGAGUCACAGGCAGUAGAGUCACAUAGGAAGGAAGACUGGGUGGUUUUUCUAACUCACCUCUUCUGAAGAGCAGAGGACUCAGCACACCUUCCAUGUAGUUGUCACCUGUUUGUCGUUUCAUGUGUGCGUAAAAGUGACACAUGGUAACACCUGUCAAAACAAAUCUAAAAGAGCUCUUUCGAGGUGAUAAGAAAGCCUGUGUUGUUAUUUGAUCGGCCUUCUGCAAUUUAUUCUCAACCAAGUGAGCCAGCAGCAGUCUGCGGUCCUUGCCACACCACCCUCCCCAGCCCCUGGUGGUGCGUAAACCAGCUUGGAGGCCUCAGCCCUUCCCACCUUGAUCUGUCCUCACUUUUUAAAAAAUAAUGUUUUGAGGGCCGGCCCGGUGGCUCAGGCGGUUAGAGCUCCAUGCUCCUAACUCCGAAGGCU
This is a long non-coding RNA of Rhinolophus ferrumequinum (greater horseshoe bat), 4130 nucleotides long. RefSeq lists it as uncharacterized. Lineage: Eukaryota; Metazoa; Chordata; Mammalia; Chiroptera; Rhinolophidae. The record is from RefSeq and is a predicted model, not a curated record. The transcript has 3 exons.